CAGAUUUGCUUCAUCCAGUGUACCUGCCCUUCACUUUGCAAGUAUGCAUCAUCCCAGCCUACAAAGUAACAAAGAAGUUCUAGUGACUUCCGUGAAAGCAUCCAUUGCCUUUGUGGCUUUCCAUUUUUUGUGAAUUCUAUAGCUUGAGGUGUUAACUGUUCAUUUUGUUUAGCUUCUGCUGGCUCCAAAGAAGAACUCUGUUACCUGCAGCCUCUCCUGGGUUUGAGUGGAGAUGGUGAGAUUUUAAACCAGUACAAAAAACUAAAUAGGUUGGGAAGCGCUGACAACCAGUCAGAAAACUUUGAACCCAAUCUAAAAGGAGUUAUUGAACAAUCCAGCAGGACUGGUAAAGAAGAUACAAAAGUAUGAUAGAUCAUACUAGACUAGAGCUCCUCAUGUUGCAGUGUGGUCAUUCUCCAGCUCAUGGAAGAGGUAAAAUAUUUCUUCUUGACAGUUCUUACAAUAUUUGAAAAUCAAUUUUAAGCCACUCCUAGUUUUAAACUAUUGAACAUAAUGGAAUUUAUAUUUUGAAUAUAAGACUGGGUGUCUCAGUAGAUUAAGCAUCUGCCUUUGGCUCAGGUCAUGAUCACAGGAUCCUGGGAUUAAGCCCUGCAAGGGGACUCCCAGUUCAGGAGGGAGCCUGCUUCUCCUUCUCCCCCCAACCCCCUGCUCAUGCUUUCUCUCCUAUCUCUCUCUAAUAAAUAAAUAAAAUCUUAAAAAAAAAAACA
This 728-nucleotide long non-coding RNA is filed under the name Vulpes vulpes (red fox). RNAcentral's name for it is "lncRNA (ENSVVUG00000027748.1)". The record is from RNAcentral. Lineage: Eukaryota; Metazoa; Chordata; Mammalia; Carnivora; Canidae.